GACGAACGCUGGCGGCGUGCUUAACACAUGCAAGUCGAACGAAGAGCGAUGGAAGCUUGCUUCUAUCAAUCUUAGUGGCGAACGGGUGAGUAACGCGUAAUCAACCUGCCCUUCAGAGGGGGACAACAGUUGGAAACGACUGCUAAUACCGCAUACGAUCUAAUCUCGGCAUCAAGGAUAGAUGAAAGGUGGCCUCUACAUGUAAGCUAUCACUGAAGGAGGGGAUUGCGUCUGAUUAGCUAGUUGGAGGGGUAACGGCCCACCAAGGCGAUGAUCAGUAGCCGGUCUGAGAGGAUGAACGGCCACAUUGGGACUGAGACACGGCCCAGACUCCUACGGGAGGCAGCAGUGGGGAAUCUUCCGCAAUGGACGAAAGUCUGACGGAGCAACGCCGCGUGAGUGAUGACGGCCUUCGGGUUGUAAAGCUCUGUUAAUCGGGACGAAAGGCCUUCUUGCGAAUAGUGAGAAGGAUUGACGGUACCGGAAUAGAAAGCCACGGCUAACUACGUG
This 510-nucleotide ribosomal RNA is filed under the name uncultured bacterium. Its description in RNAcentral is "partial 16S ribosomal RNA". It matches the Rfam family "Bacterial small subunit ribosomal RNA", at positions 28 to 507 of the family's 1533-position model. The record is from RNAcentral.